AAGGCGCUUACAGGAAGCCGGCGGAGUUGGGGCAAUUCGGAUUGUUGGAGCUGUCAGUUCACGUCAGUUUUUCUAUUUAUCAUGUCAUGGUAAUAUAGCAGUACACACAUAGGUUGGCCAACAAUGCAGAAAAAGCACCAGAACACCAUGUUUCCCACCUGGAAGAAUAAUCAGCAGUAAAGUGAAAUUUUUAAGUAAAACCGUGCAGAAUAGAAAGUCGAGAAUGGGGAACUGAACAUAGUUCGUGUCGCUAAAUUCAAACCACGAUAUCCAAGCAAGAAAUACCAUGUGAGCAAAACGAACAUAUAAAAACAUAGGCAUACAGUGAAGAAAAACGUACCAUUGAAUUUUUGAACUUGUUCUGCAAAUAAUUUGUUACAAUAACCAGAGGAACCUGCUCAGAAAUGAUACCAGAAUUCAUAAACUAUAUUAAAUCUCGAGAAGCAGAUGUAGUUCAGAACCGAAUUACAAUUCAACAUUGGUCAUAAUUGAUACAAGGAUAAUAGGUUAAAGCAAGAACUAUCAAAAAUGGUAGGGAAAAUCAUUCACUCACAUGAUCACGUCAAAACUCGAGAAGUCGCAUCACUCACGUUAAGAGAUACUAAAUUUCACAAAUGCUGGUAUAAAUUUCA
RNAcentral lists this long non-coding RNA (632 nucleotides) under Olea europaea (common olive). RNAcentral describes it as "long non-coding RNA (OEUR_LNC012057)". The record is from RNAcentral. Lineage: Eukaryota; Viridiplantae; Streptophyta; Magnoliopsida; Lamiales; Oleaceae.